Long non-coding RNA from Panicum virgatum (switchgrass), 976 nucleotides. RefSeq lists it as uncharacterized. The record is from RefSeq and is a predicted model, not a curated record. Lineage: Eukaryota; Viridiplantae; Streptophyta; Magnoliopsida; Poales; Poaceae. The transcript is spliced from 2 exons.
UGGGGCCCAGCUCUUCCAAAUUCUUUCCCAAGGUUGGAAUUGAAUGGCUCCAAUGAACAUUGCAUCAUAUGCUGAUUUUGCUGAAUAUUGUCCAGAUGCUGAGAAUUUCAAGAUGUGAGAAUCCUCCACAUCAGGCUGCAAAACUCUUUCUGCAAGUAAAUCCCAAAGACCAAGAUACUCAACUAGAACAUCCAGGAUUGGGAAUUGCACCAAAGAGAUGUGGUACAAGCUGACCAAGGUUCUGCCCAUGAAUCCAAUUGUCGGUCCAGAAAAAAGUGUUCCUGCCAUUUCCAACUUCCGAGAUGAUGGCCACAGCAAAGAAGGAUUUGACUGAUUGAUGUACUUGUAUGGGCAAAAAGGCCCAUGGUUUGUCAGGUUAAGUUUUUUCCAGCCAAAGCCAUCUUGCUCUAAGGGCCCAACCAAGCUGCUACAAAUUAGAUAUGCCUAAACCCCCUAGUUCAGGUGGGCGAGUAACCUUGGGCCAAGCGACUAAACAAUGCCCUCCCUUAACAUCAUUUCUUCCCUUCCAUAGGAAACCUCUCCUGAUCUUAUCGAUGGACUUAAGCGCCCAGAUCGGGAGGUCCACAGGCAUGGCUAAGUACACUAGCAUUUGCCGAGCUCUGGCGCGAGGAGUACCCGCCUUGGGCCAUGCUUGACUUGAUUUCUUCUUAUUUCGGGGCUUUGAUCACCAAAAUUCAUUAUCGAGCUUGUGGAUUUUGUUGUCUGCUUGGAGAUUGGGAAUUCACCUCUCCUCCCCUACAAACUAAUGGCAUGCAGCCAGCGUCCCAGCCCUUUUUCUAACAAUCUGUUGUAUCAGAUUGUUACCAUGUUGCCGUACCUAUGUAUUUCCAUGUGAACUUGUAGCCCCGUGUUGGGUGAUGUGCUCGGUUGUGGUUACAGGAUGAAAUGUCAUCCCAAUGAAAUAUUUCUGAUAAAUGUUAGUCAGGUGGUUCAGUUCGCCUUGAUAGACACUUCA